UAAUAAGUGUUUUUAUGGCACUUUUUUAAAUCCAUAUCCACCUUGUGUGCAAUGUCAGUCGAUCUUCUUCAUGGAGAUCGACCAAAACAUCAACCUUUAUCUUUUAACUCUUUGUCUGAAAAAAUAUUAUGAAUAAACAAUUCAAAAAUA
This 150-nucleotide unclassified non-coding RNA is filed under the name soil metagenome. RNAcentral describes it as "partial internal transcribed spacer 1". The record is from RNAcentral.